RNAcentral lists this ribosomal RNA (471 nucleotides) under uncultured bacterium. RNAcentral describes it as "bacterial SSU rRNA". It matches the Rfam family "Bacterial small subunit ribosomal RNA", at positions 329 to 800 of the family's 1533-position model. The record is from RNAcentral.
UGGCUAACUCCUACGGGAGGCAGCAGUGGGGAAUAUUGCACAAUGGGCGCAAGCCUGAUGCAGCGACGCCGCGUGAGGGAUGGAGGCCUUCGGGUUGUAAACCUCCUUCGCUCAUGGUCAAGCCGCGACAUUGGUUGUGGUGAGGGUAGUGGGUAAAGAAGCGCCGGCUAACUACGUGCCGGCAGCCGCGGUAAUACGUAGGGCGCGAGCGUUGUCCGGAAUUAUUGGGCGUAAAGGGCUUGUAGGCGGUUGGUCGCGUCUGCCGUGAAAUUUUCUGGCUUAACUGGGGGCGUACGGUGGGUACGGGCUGACUUGAGUGCGGUAGGGGAGACUGGAACUCCUGGUGUAGCGGUGGAAUGCGCAGAUAUCAGGAAGAACACCGGUGGCGAAGGCGGGUCUCUGGGCCGUUACUGACGCUGAGGAGCGAAAGCGUGGGGAGCGAACAGGAUUAGAUACCCUUGUAGUCCUAUC